This 2709-nucleotide long non-coding RNA is filed under the name Podarcis lilfordi (Lilford's wall lizard). The record is from RNAcentral. Lineage: Eukaryota; Metazoa; Chordata; Lepidosauria; Squamata; Lacertidae.
CUUAUCCUUAGUUUCUAUACCGGCCUAUACUUCCUAAUAACUGCUAAUUGAUUAUCCCAACUGUCUAUCUGACUCCUCCUAUUAGUUUCUCUCACAUCAAAACUCGACCAACCCACAGAUUUAUCCUCCCUCUUCCUUCUCCAACUCCCAGCUGACUUCCACACAACUCCAACUCUAACUCUAACUCAUCCCCUUGGGUUCCCACUGGCCAAUCACUUCACACUCAUUUAACCCUUUCCUUAUGACCCACCUAGGAGGCAAACACCACAGUAGGGAAGAGGAAAAAUGCGAACGUAGCCACUAGUUCUUCAAACAAGAAGUCUGAAUGGAAACAGUUUGAGAAGAGAAUGAGGCAAAAUCUCUGGUCUGUCAGCCUAGUUAAUAGAGGGGCUCUGCAGUUCCUUCUCUCCCUCCAGCAUGAUGGAAUGGCUACUGCUUGAAGGAGUAGCCUGAUGGCAUGGAUCAAAAUAUAGAAGCUUUCGCUGUGACUGAGAUGUGAACUGGAGCACUGUAAAACCUAUUUGAUAAACAGGCAGAGAAUCUGAAUAUUUGUAUUUGUUUUGCAGUCUGGAAAUAUCUAUGGCAGGGUUCUCCAUAAACAUUACUAAAAUAAAUCUCUCUAGCUCAGCCAUAAGCUCAGCCCUCAAGGCAGGGUGGCAUCUAAUGGCUGCCCAAAUGGAAAGCGCCUUGAGAAACUAAGCCAGUGUUGUACAGUGGUUAGAGUAUCAGAAUACAGUGGUGCCUCGCAAGACGAAAUUAAUCCGUUCCGCGAGAGUCUUCGUCUAGCGGUUUUUUCGUCUUGCGAAGCAACCCUAUUAGCGGCUUAACGGAUUAGCGCUAUUAGCGGUUUAGCGGCUAUUAAAGGCUUAAAGGCUUAGCGGAUUAGCUGCUAAAAGGCUAUUAAAGGCUAUUAAAGGCUUAGCAGAUUAGAUAACGGGGGGGGAAAGCGAAACAAAAAUCUCUAGACUCGCAAGACAUUUUCGUCUUGCGAAGCAAGCCCAUAGGGAAAUUCGUCCUGCGAAGCAACUCAAAAACGGAAAACCCUUUCGUCUAGCGGGUUUUCCGUCUUGCGAGGCAUUCGUCUUGCGGGGCACCACUGUACCACUUGGGAGACCAGAGUUCAAGUCCUCACUCAGCAGUGAAGCCCACGGGGUCACCCUUUACCAGUCACUGACUCCUAGCCUAAACUACCUCACAGGGUUUUUGUGAGGAUAACACAUGAAGGGGGAGAUAUAUGCAGCCUUAAGUUGGGACAGAUAUGUAAUCUGUGUUGUUUUUCUAGAAAAAGAGGUGUCAGAAUUCCUCUCUUAGAAUGGCACUGGCGCCCACCUGAGAGGUGUCGGAACUAAGGUCCUGUGAAUUCCCGGUGAGAAAAGCCCUGCUUUCUCUCCAACCCCCAAGGUUGGCAUGGGCUGUGUUGCAUAGAGCUGCAGUCUUGGGGUAUGGGGUCAAACUGAUCAUAUGCAAGAUCCCUCCACCCAAUUUUAGAUGAUUUCCCCAUUGCAUUGCAAUUCCGAUGACCCUCUGCAGAGAGGAGAAAGGUUGGUUAUGCAAGCUGCCUUCUACUUAUUUAACCAUCAGAUGCAGUCAAGGACAGAUAUAGAACAUCUGCAUUUCUUUUAUCACUCUUGAUAAUUCUUCUUUACAGGACCAUUAUAAUUUGUGUGCUCUGUCCUACAUCAGCCAUUCUUUGUGAGAAGAAAAGCUGUAUGGCGUAAGAAAGGCAUGCCUAAUUUUUUCUGCAAACAGAAACCCCAAGCAACCCAUGUUAUCUAGCUGCUCUGCUAAAAAUUACACUCUUUUCAGCACUGAUCCUGUGUACACGUUGCUUCAUACAACAAAUAUGCUAGUUUGUAUGGCAGGUCGUGUUUUCUGUGUGUGUGGUUUUUUUGUUUUUUUUUUUUUAGAGUUUCCUGCCAGCUGGACUGCUAUUGUAACUGGUCAAAAUAAUGGGGAAAGGAUUGAAAUUCACAAGUUAUUUUUCAUUUAGCUGAACAAUUCACUUGCUAUUCCUUAUCUGAGGCGUAUUCUUAUUUAUCAGGAGGAGUGGGGAAAUAAAUUUGGCUUUCUGGUACAUGCUACAGUUUAAAGCUGCAGUUGACUAAAAGGUAAGCAUCCUGUCCAAUGAAAAGAUUUCCAAAUGGAGCACAACAAAUUCUUAAAAUCUGGUAUGCACCCAACCCAUCUUUCUAGUUCAAAUAUUGUAGAAGAGUAUUCUACUGGUACUUCACUCUUUAGCUGAAAAAGCUCCCGUACUGGCUUACAAAGAGCAGCAGGAGGACAGUCCCUCUAAAAAGACAUGACACACAAGGAAGAAGGGAAGAGGAGGGCCUUAAAAGCAAGCUCAGGCACCAAUUCUUAAACAUCAGUUGUUCUGAUGACCAGGUGGGAUAGAGGUGAAAAACAGCUAUGCUUUAAAGUGAUAUGUAGAGCUUAUGGGAAUGAAGGUGGAGAGAAAGGCUUUUUCAUGCAUUAGCCCAGGGACAAUAUCUGGGUGUGGCUUUUAUUAUUCUUUUUCUUCAGGCUCAUAAUAUGGAGAAUCUACAUUGUAAGACUAUGAACGAAUUAACUGAAGGAUUCACUCGGUGGGCCAAAUGGUUCUCAGUUUUAAGUCUUUGCAAUGACACUUCUGAGCAGACUUUGUUUCUCCUAAUACAGAGUUAACUUACUUCUUGUGAUUUAUUGCUGCCUAGCUCUACACACACACAC